GAGGGUAUAGCUCAAAUGGUAGAGCGCAUGACCAGCACGCAAGAAGUCCUGGGCUCAAUCCCCAGUACGUCCA
RNAcentral lists this transfer RNA (73 nucleotides) under Camelus bactrianus (Bactrian camel). It matches the Rfam family "tRNA". From Rfam's summary of the family: Transfer RNA (tRNA) molecules are approximately 80 nucleotides in length. Their secondary structure includes four short double-helical elements and three loops (D, anti-codon, and T loops). The record is from Rfam by way of RNAcentral. Lineage: Eukaryota; Metazoa; Chordata; Mammalia; Artiodactyla; Camelidae. RNAcentral also lists the same sequence under 2 other names.